UUCAGAUUAGUCCCAUAAAAUUUUAUCGAAAUCAGUAUAGUAGUUUAAUUAUUAUAUCGAAAUAACUGGUAUUGCCAUGAUCUUAAAUUGUACUAGUUGUAUUCGCGAUUCUGUGCGCGUCAAGAAGCCAAAGGUCAGUCAGCCACGUCUUUCUCCACAUCAACUGCUGCGUGUAUGUCAAAUUUCAUGACAGUUGUUGGAUUCGUUAAGGCGCCAAACGAAAUGUUGCAUAUCUGGGUCGCAGUGCUGCAACAACUGUUGCACGGAGCAGGCGCCGGCGAGUUGCGGUACGCUGCUACCGCUCACUAGCAGCGACUGCGGCGAUGUCACGCGCGACACUACCGCUUCUAUUUCAGCUGUCAGUGACUGUAAUAAAUAUAAAAUAUUAUGUUGUAGAUUUUACAUACUUAUUAUUACAAAUAAUAUCUUAAAAAAAAUUUUGAAGUACUAUCACUAUCCCUUGUCUAAUAUCUUAAAAGCUAAGCAAGCAAUAUAAUUUAUUUUUAAAUAAAUAAAUAAUAAAUUUAUUGUCAUUCUUUACAAACAUACAGAUAUUACAAUAUACAUAUAUUUAUUAAUAAAUACAAAUAAGGGAACUGGAAAAUGUAGUGUGAUAUAAUCAGACCCAUACAUUAUUUUCAAUCAUCUUUAAAGAGGAGAUAGUUAUCAAAACAAUAUAAAUUUACUUCAACAUGUUAAUAUUUUAAUAUAUUUUUUAUUGUGUGUCAAAUCAUUGACAUUGUCAUGCAAAUGUUUUAAUUACUGUAUAUAAAAAAGAAUCACGAUUAAUUCUAUAUUUUGUGUUUAAUGAAAAUAAAACGCUUUAGUAACAAUAGAAUCCUAUAUCUAGGCAAUAAGGUAUAUUUUAAAAUAGACAAUCUGACCACUAACCUGGUUGUCUAAGGAGCUGACUGAAUUCUUCUUUAAAUCUUCUUUUAUGACAUGUAGUUGGUAGUGAGUAGGAAUAUGCUGGAAACAGAAUAUUAUUUGCUAUUAUGAAAAGGUUCUUUUGGCACUUUUCUUUCUUUAGGACCUAUUUCUCUCUACUGGGGUUUCUCUCUAAUGAAUAAAAUUAAAAUAAAUGGAUAACUUUUACCAACAGUGUAUAAUAAGCAUCCUGCUUAUAAGAACAAAAAAAAUAAUAAUAAUAAAUAAAUUGGCUCAGCAAGCCAUGUGGCUUCGAAAUUUUUUUUUUUUUUCUAUUAUUAACAUAUUGGUACUGAAACUAGAACAAUUACUAUGUAAUUUUAGAACUUAGUUAAUUGUUUUAUAGGUUUUAUAUCAAAAUUAUGUUUACAUACUAUAACAAUUACAACUUACUACAUAAAUAAAAUAUUAAUUUAUGUUUGUAUAAAAUGUGUGAUUAAAAAAUUUUGAAAAUAAAACUCAAAAGGAAAAUCCUAAAGCAAAGCAUCUAUCACAGUACAAAAACUAGAAUCGUAUUACUUAAGAGAGAAGAUUCUAUUUGCGUAAAAAAUAACUGUCCUUAAUAAUAAAAAAUGCAAAAAUAUUUGUUUUUAAAAUUUUUAUGUGUUUAACACUUACAUUAGUAUCGGCAAGCAUUAAUAUGCGAUGUACGUGCGGUUGAUCCGUAGUGUCUGGUGACAAUCGAUUUAAACAAUCCGGAUACAUCUCAGCCAACACCACGGCAUUCUCUCCACCGAGGAUGUAUUUGCUCUGUUCUAAUACAGCCAACUCUUCUAAUCUGUCAUAGAUAUGGUUUGCUAUUUUUGGCUUUACUUCUGCAAUUAAGACAAUUUAUUUCCUAUAGGUAUUUAUAAUUAGACAUUUAUUAAUUAAAAAUUGUUAUAGAAUUUAUGAAAAUCAACAGCUUGGACUUUUUUGCCAAUUACAUAGUACCUAAAUAUUAGAAUUACUCUGUGAUUUUUUACCUUAAUAUAUAAAAAUGCUGUGCCACAGUGUUUGAUCAUUUUACUUGCACAUUUCAUUGCAGUACCUAUUGUUUUACUAAAUUUGUUAUAAAAUUUUAAUUUAUUAUUAAUAUUACAGUAUAAACAAUGUGACAACAAAUCUGAACAACCAGAGAUCCAAUAUGUUUAACAUAUCUUAAUGAAUUAUAUGACAAUUCUAGAUAAAUCAUUAUCUAGAUGUGUCGGAACAACUGGUUAGAUAAUUGAAUUCUUUAGACUGUGUUAAUGUUAUGAAAUUAUGGCUAAUCUUAACAAUUUUUUUUUUAUAAUGUAAUACCAACCAGAUUAUCUUACAUCUUAGACUCAUGACUGAGGGCCCCAUGUGGUCCUCAAACUAGUUUAACUGUAUUGCUUAAAAUGUAAUGUAAGUUAAUCUGGUCGUAAUUUUAAUGUACUGAACAUUAAAAUAUAAUGUGUACUUAUGAAAUUUUAACAAUAAAAUCUUCAUUAUUGUAAUAAA
Galleria mellonella (greater wax moth) is the source of this 2391-nucleotide long non-coding RNA. RefSeq lists it as uncharacterized. NCBI's taxonomy places the organism in Eukaryota, Metazoa, Arthropoda, Insecta, Lepidoptera, Pyralidae. The transcript has 2 exons. The record is from RefSeq and is a predicted model, not a curated record.